GCAGGCCUAACACAUGCAAGUCGAGCGGAAACGACACUAACAAUCCUUCGGGUGCGUUAAUGGGCGUCGAGCGGCGGACGGGUGAGUAAUGCCUAGGAAAUUGCCUUGAUGUGGGGGAUAACCAUUGGAAACGAUGGCUAAUACCGCAUAAUGCCUACGGGCCAAAGAGGGGGACCUUCGGGCCUCUCGCGUCAAGAUAUGCCUAGGUGGGAUUAGCUAGUUGGUGAGGUAAUGGCUCACCAAGGCGACGAUCCCUAGCUGGUCUGAGAGGAUGAUCAGCCACACUGGAACUGAGACACGGUCCAGACUCCUACGGGAGGCAGCAGUGGGGAAUAUUGCACAAUGGGCGAAAGCCUGAUGCAGCCAUGCCGCGUGUAUGAAGAAGGCCUUCGGGUUGUAAAGUACUUUCAGUUGUGAGGAAGGGGGUAGCGUUAAUAGCGCUAUCUCUUGACGUUAGCAACAGAAGAAGCACCGGCUAACUCCGUGCCAGCAGCCGCGGUAAUACGGAGGGUGCGAGCGUUAAUCGGAAUUACUGGGCGUAAAGCGCAUGCAGGUGGUUCAUUAAGUCAGAUGUGAAAGCCCGGGGCUCAACCUCGGAACUGCAUUUGAAACUGGUGAACUAGAGUACUGUAGAGGGGGGUAGAAUUUCAGGUGUAGCGGUGAAAUGCGUAGAGAUCUGAAGGAAUACCAGUGGCGAAGGCGGCCCCCUGGACAGAUACUGACACUCAGAUGCGAAAGCGUGGGGAGCAAACAGGAUUAGAU
Molecule: ribosomal RNA, 762 nt
Filed under: Vibrio sp. UOH-42
Lineage: Bacteria; Pseudomonadati; Pseudomonadota; Gammaproteobacteria; Vibrionales; Vibrionaceae
Description: bacterial SSU rRNA
Rfam family: Bacterial small subunit ribosomal RNA
Source: RNAcentral